AGCUCCAAUAGCGUAUAUUAAAGUUGUUGCAGUUAAAACGCUCGUAGUUGAACAUCUGCUGUAAGUUAUUCUGGUCCUCUUUGUGUACCAGAAUACUGCAAGCAUCCGAUUGCAAAAUCUAGUGCUCCGGCACCAGGUUGGGCAAUCCUUUCACUUUGAGGAAAUUAGAGUGUUCAAAGCAGGCUUUCGCCUUGAAUACUUCAGCAUGGAAUGAUUAUUAGGACUUCUGUCCUUUAUGUCGGUUCUAGGGGACGCGAAGUAAUGAUAUAUAGGGUUGGUCGGGGGCAUUCGUAUUGAACAGUCAGAGGUGAAAUUCUUAGAUUUGUUCAAGACUAACAACUGCGAAAGCAUUUGCCAAGGAUGACCCCA
This 369-nucleotide ribosomal RNA is filed under the name uncultured eukaryote. RNAcentral's name for it is "SSU rRNA". It matches the Rfam family "Eukaryotic small subunit ribosomal RNA", at positions 587 to 972 of the family's 1831-position model. The record is from RNAcentral.